AGGCAAUCCUGCUGUCAUAGAGGUCCUACACCCGCCCCCCCGCCUCCACCUCCCACCACCGCUGCCGGAGAAGAGGAGGGAUGGGCCCAAGCCACAGCCUCUGAGUUGAACCAGUGCACUCUCUCCCGGUGGUUCUCCCGGAGGUAGAAGGCGUGGGAGAGAGCUGUGCUUCAGCAGGACGUGGUGGGUACUCGCGUCCCUGCCAUUGCUUACCAGCAGCUGCCUCCACCACGGCGGCUCCUUCAGGGUGACGAGGCGACCGGACAAGCGGCCUUCAUCUUUGUCACCCCAGAAGACCGAUCGCGCCAGGCCACCCAGCGAGGAAGGAACGCCCACGCGCCCAUCCUGCCACCCUCCGUCCCAGCCCAGCCCUGGCCUGCCACCACCGUGCCCGCUGCUACAAUACCGCCGUUAGCCCCACGGAUGACAGUGUGAGGAGAAGUACAUCUGCCUAAAGUGCGGACAGCUGAAACAGCGGCAAUUUUGCCAUAGCCGUUUGGGCAACAUCGCGUUCUGCUCCACUGCUGCCGGCAAAUCGGUGCAGGAGUGGUUGGCAGAGAUGAAGGACACUCAUGGACGCUGAUCCACUGGCUGGGUGGAGGACGCUUUUAUUGUAUAUAGUUCUGUGAUCUGCCCUCUACUUGGACCGGUACCUUGGCGAGGUGUAGAGGCUUGCGUGUGCUGAAGACCCUCAGAGCUACAUUGCCUGCAGUCCUUGGACUGAGGUGAAGCACCAGACAAAAGCCGGUCCUGCAAUGGGAACAUUGAAAUGUCAAAAGUGUGCCCUUGGCUGCAUUUGUAACGGACACUUUUUUAUAUGGACACAGUAAAGCUCCCAGUGGUGUGCAUCAUUGUUUCCCAUUUUGUAUAGUGCUGUUACUUUAUGUCUAAAGUUCAGCAUAAUUAAGUACGUUUUUAAAACACAAUUGUAUUACAGUGAAGCAGCUUGUGCAUCAAUGUUUGGAUCAUUGCGUAUUGCAAUCAUUGUUUUAUCCAACAAAAUAAACUAGUAAUUGGAAAGGAAAUGCUUGUGAAAGGAAAUGCUUGUCUUGUUUCUGAAUUUAACAAUACUUGAUGUGAGUCUUUCAAAGUAGUCUUUGAAAGUGAGAAUGAUUUUCUUCCUUCUCAUGCAUACAAGUCAAAGCUUCAAAGCUUUUAAUGUCCUUCCUUCUCCUGCAUCACUGACUGUCUAGACAGGCAGGCAGGCUGGGAGGCAGGCAAGCAGUCAGUCACUGUCCAAAGCCAAUUAUCCCUGCCAAAUGUGUUUUGGAUUGUGUACUGCAAUCGCUGUUUUAUCUAACAAAAGUAACUAAAAAAAGUCAUCAAUAGAGUCAGUGAAAAGCAAACUCUUUGUCUUUUUUAACUUUGUCUUUUUAUUUCAGUUAAUACAUUGCAUUGAUGUUCACAAUUACUACAUCUCUGUAUAAUUCAUUUCUGCUGCUGAAAUCUGUGUUGUAUAAGAAUAAAACAUACACAGAAAGCCAA
This is a long non-coding RNA of Conger conger (European conger), 1485 nucleotides long. RefSeq lists it as uncharacterized. NCBI's taxonomy places the organism in Eukaryota, Metazoa, Chordata, Actinopteri, Anguilliformes, Congridae. The record is from RefSeq and is a predicted model, not a curated record. The transcript is spliced from 2 exons.